UACGUAGGGUGCGAGCGUUAAUCGGAAUUACUGGGCGUAAAGCGUGCGCAGGCGGUUCGUUAUGGCCGGUGUGAAAGCCCCGAGCUCAACUUGGGAAUGGCAUUGGAAACUGGCGGGCUGGAGUGUGGCAGAGGGGGGUGGAAUUCCACGUGUAGCAGUGAAAUGCGUAGAGAUGUGGAGGAACACCGAUGGCGAAGGCAGCCCCCUGGGCCAACACUGACGCUCAGGCACGAAAGCGUGGGGAGCAAACAGG
RNAcentral lists this ribosomal RNA (253 nucleotides) under uncultured bacterium. RNAcentral's name for it is "partial 16S ribosomal RNA". It matches the Rfam family "Bacterial small subunit ribosomal RNA", at positions 524 to 776 of the family's 1533-position model. The record is from RNAcentral.